Cryptotermes secundus is the source of this 1035-nucleotide long non-coding RNA. RefSeq lists it as uncharacterized. NCBI's taxonomy places the organism in Eukaryota, Metazoa, Arthropoda, Insecta, Blattodea, Kalotermitidae. The record is from RefSeq and is a predicted model, not a curated record. The transcript has 3 exons.
AUCAGAGAGCCUAAACAAACCAAAUUGAAUUCCCGCAAUUAUAUGUGGUCAUGGUUGAUCAAUAUAGGCAAAUUGUAUAGACAUGAAAACGAAAACGUGCUGCUGCUGGGUGCUUGUCAUCCAGCAAGCAAGGCAUCCUAUCCAUGCACAUGGUUCUUCCACUUCCUUUAAAAUGUUUGCAGUGCAACCAUUACCAACAGCAGCCACCAACUUUUUCAGUGAAAGAAACCUCGUUUCUCCUAGGCCCUGUAAAUAUAAAUGCUUCUGGUGGGGAACUCAGGCAUAUCAAUCAGUGCAGCAAGCCACAACACUGUAUUGGCUACAGUGGGGUGCUGUGGUGAAUACCUGGCAACAGCUAUUUGAUGAUCCCCUUGUGAACACAUUUGAAGCUAUUCGUUCGUAGUAUGGUUUGAACAAUAAUCCAACUGUGGGACAGUUUGUAGAUGCCCUGAAGACUAACAUCAGUGCACUUUCUAUCAGAGAUCUGUGUGGAACUAGUUGUGAGGAUGAUGAUGCUACUGUUGUGUGUAACCUACAGUCAUUGUUCAGGGCACCUGAUGCUUCUUCACCAAAUCUGUCCACAAGUCGUGGCAAGGAAACCCCUGAUGAAGUUCCUGAGUUUCCAUGUUACUCAACAAGUACAGAAGGACAUGGUUGCUGCAGUACAUGCUGGUGACAUGGAAGUGUUCUCAGUAGCCUAUGUCAGUGGUUCCAUUGCCAGACAGGUGCUUUGUGGUGUCAGCUGUGAUGCACGCAAGACAUGCGUGACAUCUGAAGUUCUGCUAUCAGCUAGUGUCUUCAUAUAUUUCUGAGACAUUGGUGUGGAGACUGUUGUUAUGCUGUAACUCUAAUAUAAUCUAUGGUGGCAGGCAAUUCAUGUUGCAGCAUAUCACAGCUGCCAUUAAGAACACCAUUGACUUGGAGUGGAUUAGGUGUACUGGUUGUUCACUUCACUGCCAAUGAAAAAUAGAUGGUAUUGUGAGAUGUCUCACAAGAAUUUACAUUCCUUGGUGGUGUAAGCGAACAAACAGGUUG